UUCAUGGCUAUCAAUGGCUGGUUGGAGGUGGCGACGACCGGCGGAGGACUGAGGAAUAGUCUUGGUGUUGUGCAGCUAGCGUUCAAAAAAGGGUCGACUUGUUUUAAUUUGUGAAUCUUCUUGUGAUUUGUGAAAGAGUGAAGGGAAGGGAAGAAUAAGACACUACAAGAAUUUUAUGUUUUCCCUACAAAAUUUAUUUUUAAGGACACGAUUUUAUUUGUUGCAGACAAAAAAGAUUUGUAGGGACAAUUAUGGAGCAAACAUCCAGGGGAUAGACUUUAGCCUAUAAAAUUUUGAAAUUUGUGGGCAAAAAUUUUUCCCUACAAACCCUUCGGAGAUGAAUACAAUACAUUGCAUAAAUUCUCCCCCGACAAAAUUAUUCGUCUGUUAAAAUUAAUUUUGCCUACAAAACAAUAUCGAUUUUCCCUACAAAUUAUCUUGUGGGCUAAAUCUUGCCUUUCCCUACAAAAAUUUUUGUCUGAAAAAAAAAAUAUUUGUCAACUAAAAUAUCUACAUUUUCCAAACAAUUUAAACUUUGUGACAACAUGGUAUAUAUUAUUUUGUAGGCUAAACCCUGUUUUUCUCUAUAAAUAAUUUUUCGUAGUAAAAACAUAUUUAUAGGCUAUUAUGAAAGAAUUCAUAGGGAGAAAUUAAAUUAUUU
Molecule: long non-coding RNA, 661 nt
Filed under: Olea europaea subsp. europaea
Lineage: Eukaryota; Viridiplantae; Streptophyta; Magnoliopsida; Lamiales; Oleaceae
Source: RNAcentral